This 926-nucleotide long non-coding RNA is filed under the name Cricetulus griseus (Chinese hamster). RNAcentral's name for it is "lncRNA (ENSCGRG00000024605.1)". The record is from RNAcentral. Lineage: Eukaryota; Metazoa; Chordata; Mammalia; Rodentia; Cricetidae.
UGAGCAGCUCAGAGUAAAUUUUUCAGGGUCUUGGUUUUAUAAAAUUAGUUGAAGGUACUGUUAAAUGAACUUUUGGCUUUGAUAAUGUUGAUAAAAUUACAGGACUUUUAGCAGUCUUAACUGAAGUAUAAAUGACUAAAUGAAUUACAGAUAAUGUGUGAUCUCACACGUUCUUACUUGGCCAUGAAACCAUUACCACAAUCAAGAAAAUGAACAAAUGGACAUCCCCUUCCUUAAAGACAGACAAUUUUGUUCUACAGACAAGAGGAGAGGAAGAUGAUUCUCUGGCCAUUAAACCACCCCAGCAAAUGUCUCGGAAAGAAAAAGCCCACCACAGAAAAGAUGAGAAGAGAAAAGAGAAGCGUAGACAUCGUAGCCAUUCAGCAGAGGGAGGUAUGAGAGUCUUUGCUUUCUUUUCUUCCAUGUGAUAGUCACAGCUCUUUGUUUCUUCUGUCGUGAUCUGCCUUCUUCAGUGUGUAUCUAAAAGUGAAGAUGAAUGGAAAUGUUAGCCACAAGCAUAAACUCACUGUAGACUUUGGAAUAUCUUUCUUUUUAUUUCUGAUAUGUGUACGUUUUCUUCUCUUUCCUUUCACGUUGUUUAGAAGUCAUUUGUCUGUAUAUACAAUUGCUCUCAUUUAGUGAGUAUAGGUGAAAAUACCAAAAAAAUUGAUAAUAAUAAUAAUGGGUGUUGGGGUCAAGUCCAGCUAAGAGAUUUGACUUGAGAGAUUUGAUCUUGGGCCUAUACCAGGAUGUGGUUUUUUAUUUCUUAAGCAAGAUCUUGCUGGGUAGCCCAGCCUGUCCAUCAGCACUGGAGAUGCUCCUCCAUCAGCCUCCUAAAUUCUGGGAUUACAGACAUUUUCUGCAUACUUAUCUUUCAAGGGGUUCUCAGGAGUAUGAGGAAAACAGAUCCUGAGACCUAUUUAAAU